This 1065-nucleotide long non-coding RNA is filed under the name Olea europaea subsp. europaea. The record is from RNAcentral. Lineage: Eukaryota; Viridiplantae; Streptophyta; Magnoliopsida; Lamiales; Oleaceae.
CCCCACUCCAAACCCUAAUUCUUUUACUGCCUCCUCUCUCUCUCUCUUUACACUGCCCGCGCUCUUUAUUGACGCCGUCAAUUUCUCUCUACAGCCCACUCUCUCUAUACUGACGAUGUCACGUGAGCGGCACUCAUCUUCCACAGGCGCCUUGCAACAGUAGAUGCACGUGUGACAGAUUUGUAAGAUCGUCGACUGGCUGGGGCUAUGGGAUUGUUGAUGAGAACGAAGGUGCCGUAACAAAUCUGUGAAGGAGUGGCUGUCGACGAGGUGAACUGGUGAACAAUAUGAUGGUGGAAAUGGGUGAUCGACGACGAUUUGCUUUAAGUGUGUGAGGUGGUGGUCCGAUGAGAUUUGGGUAAACAGGGACAAGCGAGUUCCUAAUUUGUUAGGCGUGGAUAGAUAUGGUUUUGGUGGAGGCUCUUAGUGAUUUAUUUGUUGAUUUGGAGAGAUGAUGAUGAAAAUAUAGUGGUCCACAAUGUUGUAAUGAGUUGAUGUAGCCGGCAAAAGACAGGACACACGGGCAGUGGUUUUGGGGGUUUUUUUGGUGGUUUGGAAAUUAAGAUGCAGUGCCGCGACGGCUGCAGUGGCGAUGGUAGUGUUAGCGAUGGUGGGGACGACGGUGCUGGUGUGGUGCUGGGGGUUGCAGUUGCAGGGACUGUAUGGUAUGAAAGUGUUUGUGACCAACUAUUUAGGGUGGGCACUGAGGUGAUGGUUGUGAUUUUGGCUGUGGUGGUGAAGUCGGGGCAGUGGUUGUGGGUGGUUGGACGAUUUUUUAUUUUUUGGGUGUAGGUUUUGUUGGUGCUUGGACGACAAUUAUGGUUUUGCGAGGUCUGGUGGUGGUAAUGGUGAUAGUGAUGGUGGCUGUCUUGGCUGUGAUGAGAUGAAGUUGGAUACUUGUAAUCAAUUAUUUUGUUGAUUGUGAAUAUAUGACUUCAAAAUUUAAAAAUUGUGACUGUGACACACAAGUGAUUAAGUUAUGAUCGAAAAAUUAAUUGUGAUCAUAAUCUAAUAAUUUGCUAUGAAUAAAUGAGUUGUGAUCAAUAAUAAUUUUGAUUCUGUGAU